UGGGAUGAGGUGGUACGGAAUCAAUGGU
RNAcentral lists this non-coding RNA (28 nucleotides) under Mus musculus (house mouse). The record is from RNAcentral. Lineage: Eukaryota; Metazoa; Chordata; Mammalia; Rodentia; Muridae.